GCUGGCGGAAUGCUUUACACAUGCAAGUCGAGCGGCAGCGCGGGGCAACCUGGCGGCGAGCGGCGAACGGGUGAGUAAUGCAUCGGAACGUGUCCAUGUCGUGGGGGAUAGCCCGGCGAAAGCCGGAUUAAUACCGCAUACGCCCGAGAGGGGAAAGUGGGGGACCGCAAGGCCUCACGCGAUUGGAUCGGCCGAUGUCCGAUUAGCUAGUUGGCGGGGUAAAGGCCCACCAAGGCGAUGAUCGGUAGCUGGUCUGAGAGGAUGAUCAGCCACACUGGGACUGAGACACGGCCCAGACUCCUACGGGAGGCAGCAGUGGGGAAUUUUGGACAAUGGGGGCAACCCUGAUCCAGCCAUUCCGCGUGAGUGAAGAAGGCCUUCGGGUUGUAAAGCUCUUUUGUCCGGAACGAAACGGGUAGCGUGAAUAUCGCUGCCUACUGACGGUACCCGGAAGAAUAAGCACCGGCUAACUACGUGCCAGCAGCCGCGGUAAUACGUAGGGUGCGAGCGUUAAUCGGAAUUACUGGGCGUAAAGCGUGCGCAGGCGGUUUUGCAAGCCGGAUGUGAAAUCCCCGGGCUUAACCUGGGAAUGGCAUUUGGGACUGCAAUGCUGGAGUGC
RNAcentral lists this ribosomal RNA (619 nucleotides) under uncultured soil bacterium. RNAcentral's name for it is "bacterial SSU rRNA". It matches the Rfam family "Bacterial small subunit ribosomal RNA", at positions 35 to 649 of the family's 1533-position model. The record is from RNAcentral.